Molecule: transfer RNA, 69 nt
Filed under: Orthocoelium streptocoelium
Lineage: Eukaryota; Metazoa; Platyhelminthes; Trematoda; Plagiorchiida; Paramphistomidae
Description: tRNA-Arg
Source: RNAcentral
UUUGAUAGCCUAAAAUGGGGUUUGUGUUUCGGCCACAGAUUAGGAGAGAGAGUAGGUCUUCUGUCAAAG